CGAUGUGAUCAUACCAGCACUAAAGCAACGGAUCCCAUCAGAACUCCGAAGUUAAGCGUGCUUGGGUGAGAGUAGUACUAGGAUGGGUGACCUCCUGGGAAGUCCUCGUGUUGUAUUCC
Molecule: non-coding RNA, 119 nt
Organism: Triticum aestivum (bread wheat)
Lineage: Eukaryota; Viridiplantae; Streptophyta; Magnoliopsida; Poales; Poaceae
Source: Rfam